CAAACCCAAAUCAUUGGCCCGAUCAAAUUAAAUUGGUAUAACCCAAAAAGCCAGGUGAAAAUUAGAAUUUGGGAAAUAACAGAAAAUCUCUGACUCUGAUAACUAAUCCAGUGAGAUCUCCGUCUAGGUUUAAACUUCUUAGCCCGUUACACAAAGACAUGGAUCGUAGUUUUAAGAGCAGAGCAGUGCAUGAAGCUUACCGACCUUGAACGUUAAGAUGUUGGCUAGGAAGAGGAUGGAGAUGGCGCUGUCAACCAAUGAGAGGCAAUGCACACCAAGUGUUUGAAGAAAUUGCUAGAAGAAAGCGUUCACUGAUUUGUAUUGCUACGGGAGUACUUCGAGGGCUCUCAAACCUCUAAAUGCAAAUACACGUUCAGAAUAUUUUUCUAGAUCCCCUCUCUUCCUUUCUUCUCUCCUCUUAUUCUCUCAUUUCUAACAUGUAACUAACUCUCUAAGAAAGACUAAUAUGACUAGCCAAAACUUCUAAUGAAA
Long non-coding RNA from Carya illinoinensis, 492 nucleotides. RefSeq lists it as uncharacterized. The transcript has 2 exons. Lineage: Eukaryota; Viridiplantae; Streptophyta; Magnoliopsida; Fagales; Juglandaceae. The record is from RefSeq and is a predicted model, not a curated record.